RNAcentral lists this ribosomal RNA (422 nucleotides) under uncultured bacterium. RNAcentral describes it as "partial 16S ribosomal RNA". It matches the Rfam family "Bacterial small subunit ribosomal RNA", at positions 359 to 774 of the family's 1533-position model. The record is from RNAcentral.
GAAUCUUCCGCAAUGGACGAAAGUCUGACGGAACAACGCCGCGAGAGUGAUGAAGGUUUUCGGGUCGUAAAGCUCUGUUGCCAGGGAAGAACGCGUGGGAUAGUAACCGCUCCCAAGGUGACGGUACCUGAGAAGAAAGCCCCGGCUACCCACGUGACCGCAGCCGCGGUGAUACGUAGGGGGCAAGCGUUGUCCGGAAUUAUUGGGCGUAAAGCGCGCGCAGGCGGCCUUGUAAGUCUGUUGUUUAAACUUGGGGCUCAACCCCAAGUCGCAAUGGAAACUGCAAAGCUUGAGUACAGAAGAGGAAAGUGGAAUUCCACGUGUAGCGGUGAAAUGCGUAGAGAUGUGGAGGAACACCAGUGGCGAAGGCGACUUUCUGGGCUGUAACUGACGCUGAGGCGCGAAAGCGUGGGGAGCAAACA